GCAUAUCAAUAAGCGGAGGAAAAGAAACUAACAAGGAUUCCCCUAGUAACGGCGAGUGAAGAGGGAAGAGCCCAAGAUUGAAAGCUGGCGUCUUCGGCGUCCGCAUUGUAAUCUCAAGAAGUGUUUUCCGCUUCGGACCAUGCCUAAGUCCCUUGGAAAAGGGCAUCAUAGAGGGUGAGAAUCCCGUACAUGGCAUGGAGCGCCCGAGGCUUUGUGAUACGCUUUCUAAGAGUCGAGUUGUUUGGGAAUGCAGCUCAAAAUGGGUGGUAAAUGCCAUCUAAGGCUAAAUAUUGGGGAGAGACCGAUAGCGAACAAGUACAGUGAUGGAAAGAUGAAAAGAACUUUGAAAAGAGAGUUAAACAGUACGUGAAAUUGCCAAAAGGGAAGGGUAGGAGGUCAGAGAUGCGUCUUGGGAUUCAGCCUUGCAUUUUUUGUUUGGUGUUUUUCCCAAGUUUGCAGGCCAACGUCGGUUUUGGGCACUGGAGAAGGGUGGAAGGAACGUGGCACCUCUCGGGGUGUGUUAUAGCCUUCUACUGGAUACAGCGACCGAGACCGAGGACAGCAGCGUACUCGCAAGAGCGGGCCUUCGGGCACCUUUACGCUUAGGGCGUUGGCAUAAUGGCCCUCUACCACCCGUCUUGAAACACGGACCAAGGAGUCUAACAUGUAUGCGAGUCUUUGGGUGGCAAACCCAUAGGCGCAAUGAAAGUGAAUUCAGGUGGGAUCCGCAAGGUGCACCAUCGACCGAUCCUCACGUCUUUUUAAGUCGUGGAUUUGAGUAAGAGCAUACCUGUUGGGACCCGAAAGAUGGUGAACUAUGCCUGAAUAGGGUGAAGCCAGAGGAAACUCUGGUGGAGGCUCGUAGCGGUUCUGACGUGCAAAUCGAUCGUCAAAUUUGGGUAUAGGGGCGAAAGACUAAUCGAACCAUCUAGUAGCUGGUUCCUGCG
This 947-nucleotide ribosomal RNA is filed under the name Sphacelotheca destruens. RNAcentral's name for it is "LSU rRNA". It matches the Rfam family "Eukaryotic large subunit ribosomal RNA", at positions 38 to 962 of the family's 3401-position model. Lineage: Eukaryota; Fungi; Basidiomycota; Microbotryomycetes; Microbotryales; Microbotryaceae. The record is from RNAcentral.